Molecule: ribosomal RNA, 492 nt
Filed under: uncultured bacterium
Lineage: Bacteria
Description: partial 16S ribosomal RNA
Rfam family: Bacterial small subunit ribosomal RNA
Source: RNAcentral
AGUGAACGCUGGCGGUAGGCCUAACACAUGCAAGUCGAACGGCAGCACAGUAAGAGCUUGCUCUUACGGGUGGCGAGUGGCGGACGGGUGAGGAAUACAUCGGAAUCUACUUUUUCGUGGGGGAUAACGUAGGGAAACUUACGCUAAUACCGCAUACGACCUACGGGUGAAAGCAUGGGAUCUUCGGACCUUGCGCGAUUGAAUGAGCCGAUGUCGGAUUAGCUAGUUUGCGGGGUAAAGGCCCACCAAGGCGACGAUCCGUAGCUGGUCUGAGAGGAUGAUCAGACAGACUGGAAGUGAGACACGGUCCAGACUCCUACGAGAGGGAGCAGUGGGGAAUAUUGGACAACGGGCGCAAGCAUGAUCCAGCCAUACCGCGUGGGUGAAGAAGGCCGCCGGGUUGUAAAGCCCUUUUGUUGGGCAAGAAAAGCAGCAGGUUAAUACCGCGCUGUUCUGACGGUACCCAAAGAAUAAGCAAAGGCUAACUUCGUG